GACGAACGCUGGCGGUGUGCUUCACACAUGCAAGUCGAACGGAGUAGCAAUACUCAGUGGCGGACGGGUGAGUAACACGUGGGAAUCUACCAUUAGAUGGGGAAUAACAGGCCGAAAGGACUGCUAAUGCCGCAUAUGUAUGUGCCUCGACAGGGGCGUAUAUGAAAGGAGUAAUCCGUCUGAUGAUGAGCCCGCGUCCGAUUAGCUAGUUGGUAAGGUAAAAGCUUACCAAGGCGACGAUCGGUAGGUGGUCUGAGAGGAUGAUCACCCAACAAAUGGGACUGAGACACGGCCCAUACUCCUACGGGAGGCAGCAGUGGGGAAUUUUACGCAAUGGGGGGAAACCCUGACGUAGCGACACCGCGUGAGCGAAGAAGCCCUUGGGGUGUAAAGCUCUGUCAACAGGAACGAAAAAAAAU
Molecule: ribosomal RNA, 419 nt
Filed under: uncultured bacterium
Lineage: Bacteria
Description: bacterial SSU rRNA
Rfam family: Bacterial small subunit ribosomal RNA
Source: RNAcentral